Molecule: ribosomal RNA, 174 nt
Filed under: uncultured bacterium
Lineage: Bacteria
Description: partial 16S ribosomal RNA
Rfam family: Bacterial small subunit ribosomal RNA
Source: RNAcentral
UGAGGAACAUGACUUUCGGCGGGGAUAGCCGGCCCAACGGCCGGGUAAUACCGCGUACGACCUUUUGGGGACAUCCCCGAGUGGUGAAAGCAGCAAUGCGCCGAAAGAGUGCCUCGCGGCCUAUCAGCUAGUUGGUGGGGUAAUGGCUCACCAAGGCGACGACGGGUAGCUGGU